AGCACAUUUGUUAACAGCUCAGUUGGCCGAGCAAUUUGUUUUUGUUUGUUUUAUGUUUGCUUUUGGUUCUCUAAUAAUGAGCAAUAUGGCUAGUAUGGUCGUGGAACUUGACGAUACUCCACGUCCAAUUGUCAUCACGUAUGACGGCAACAUAAGAAUAGAAGUUCGAUCCGGCGCAUCAAAACGCUCAGUUAGAGUUGUAUUUCAUAACUGCACUCCGAGAAACAUCAAAUUAUGUUGGGUUGAUUUCAAUGGCUCGUGUCAACCGUACGGUCUGUUAGAACCAGAUGGGAGAAUGAGCGUUUAUACUUUUGUGGAUCAUGUGUGGCACGCCUCGGAUUAUGGUCGGCCACUUUACUACUUAUUGAACGGGGUAUACUCAUUCGUGUGUCCAUCCCCAGACGAAGUUCGUUACCAACCUGGGGCUGAAAUCGUGAUUUAUGUGAGAAUUACAAGACCAUUAAUGGCCUUGCAAGAGCUGUCUGCAAUGACUGUGUCAAAGUCAUUGCGUGUAAGACAAGAUGUUUUGGGCCUUCAACUGCCAGUUCGUUUACAGCGAUUAGUGGCAGAAUGUUGGCAGCCUUAGAGAUAUAAAGUGCAUGGAACAUCUAAGCUCUAAAGAUGUGAUCUGAGUGAUUCAGCGUGAUAUUUUACUCUUGUAUGUUGCCAAUCUCUACUGUGGCUUUUUAUAUCUCACUUUUAUGUACC
This is a long non-coding RNA of Uloborus diversus, 708 nucleotides long. RefSeq lists it as uncharacterized. The transcript is spliced from 3 exons. The record is from RefSeq and is a predicted model, not a curated record. NCBI's taxonomy places the organism in Eukaryota, Metazoa, Arthropoda, Arachnida, Araneae, Uloboridae.